CCUACGGGGAGCAGCAGUGGGGAAUAUUGGGCAAUGGGCGCAAGCCUGACCCAGCAACGCCGCGUGAAGGAAGAAGGCUUUCGGGUUGUAAACUUCUUUUGUCAGGGACGAAGCAAGUGACGGUACCUGACGAAUAAGCCACGGCUAACCACGUGCCAACAGCCGCGGUAAUACGUGGGGGGCAAGAGUUAUCCGGAUUUACUGGGUGUAAAGGGCGUGUAGGGGGGGAAGCAAGUCAGAUGUGAAAACCAGGGGCUCAACCUGGGGCCUGCAUUGGAAACUGUUUUUCUUGAGUGCUGGAGAGGCAGUCGGAAUUCCGUGUGUAGCGGUGAAAUGCGUAGAUAUACGGAGGAACACCAGUGGCGAAGGCGGAUUGCUGGACAGUAACUGACGCUGAGGCGCGAAAGCGUGGGGAGCAAACAGGAUUAGAUACCCUUGUAGUC
This 443-nucleotide ribosomal RNA is filed under the name uncultured bacterium. RNAcentral's name for it is "partial 16S ribosomal RNA". It matches the Rfam family "Bacterial small subunit ribosomal RNA", at positions 338 to 795 of the family's 1533-position model. The record is from RNAcentral.